AAGACUACAUGAAUGUUACACAUUUCUUUUGAUUGGCAGAUCCAAGGGCUGUGUGGCUGCAGCUAAGGCUUUUCCUGGAACUGGGACUAUGUGCAGCCUAAAGUUGUUUCUAAUGGAGGACUUAAUUUCAGGCUCCUCACUAACACUAGCCAAGGAUAUUGACAUGUCCUUCUCUUCCUGAUAUGUGUAUACCAAGUACUCACAGAAGAGAAUUCCUUCUACUUUUCUUCAUCAGACAUUGUGAGGAAUUGUGCCAUAACUCUGGCAUCUCUCUGCUGAACUUGGUUCCAUUUGCCAAUGAUGUUGUUCAAACAUGGUGUCCAGAACUGAAUGUUGUAUUCUGCAGGAGACCUUGAGGUCACCAUAGGCAAAGGAGAUGUGAAAGAAGAGACAUAAUUAAUGCCAGCAGAAGAGAGAGAUGAUGACCCAGCAUAAGCUGAUUGAGACUAGGUUGUACGGUCGUUUUCCUUAUGGAUUCCAUGCUUGGGAGUGAAGAGUAAAGGAGAGCCUUCCUCUAA
Hyaena hyaena (striped hyena) is the source of this 518-nucleotide long non-coding RNA. RefSeq lists it as uncharacterized. Lineage: Eukaryota; Metazoa; Chordata; Mammalia; Carnivora; Hyaenidae. The record is from RefSeq and is a predicted model, not a curated record. The transcript is spliced from 2 exons.